RNAcentral lists this long non-coding RNA (284 nucleotides) under Lathyrus oleraceus (garden pea). Its description in RNAcentral is "Pisum sativum (pea) long non-coding RNA (PSAT_LNC000985)". Lineage: Eukaryota; Viridiplantae; Streptophyta; Magnoliopsida; Fabales; Fabaceae. The record is from RNAcentral.
UUUCUUCACUAUUCAUUUCCAUUAGUCCAUUUUAUAUACAUUAGUUUAUGUCCAUAUUCAAUCCAUUCAUUUCAAUUCAUACAUUUCAAUCUAUACAAUGUCAAUGCAAAUAUCAUUUGCAUUCACCAAAUGUUCAUUUCAUUACAAGAAAGUCCACGCUCAUACAAAAAUAACAAGUUUGACCAAAAAUUACAACAGUUGACUUUUGGUCAACAUUUUACUUUUUGGUCAACUAGUUGACCAAAGUCAACUGACCCCCCCUAACCCCCUAAGACCUAAUCCCA